Long non-coding RNA from Dicentrarchus labrax (European seabass), 688 nucleotides. RefSeq lists it as uncharacterized. The transcript is spliced from 2 exons. NCBI's taxonomy places the organism in Eukaryota, Metazoa, Chordata, Actinopteri, Moronidae. The record is from RefSeq and is a predicted model, not a curated record.
UAAAUGCAUCUAGAAACAUAAUGGUAAUAGGAUAUUCAGGACAGAUUUUAAUGUUCAUAGGGAUGUUACUUUUGAUUAAAUAUCACUCUAUUCUGGGACAUUCACGACGUCCCCAUAGCACAUCUUACAUCAGUGUAUGAAUAGAAACUGUGUGUUAAGUAUCUGACAACCUAGAGACUUGGUCUAGCAUUGGUCCCCAUAAGGAACCACGACAUGGUGUGUGAUAUGUCCCCACUAAGCUUGUUUAUUCAAUAUGUGUGAAAACAGGCAGAGGUUGAUGGAGGAGGAGGGAAUAUUGAAUUUGAUGAUUUUGUCGUUGAAGUUUCGUGCCUGUUGGCUUGAAUUUAACUUUAGAAAUUUGUCAUUAAGAACAUGCAUUAGUGUAACUAAAUAUUAUGCAGUGAUAACAUCGGACUUAAACUUGUUUUUCAUAUUUUGAAAUGUUUGCAGAUGACCAUGAAUGCAGCUGAUGCUGUCAUUCCUGUGGAAAGCUCCCAGCAUGCUGUCUUGUUAGAGACGCAGAUGACUGAAACUUUGAGUCCAUGAGACACUAAUCAACAGAUUAAAGGCACAGAUGUUGAAGAUUCAAAUGAAGUAUCCGACUCUAUACAAGUUUGUAUUGUUGCUUUCAGUUUUGUCUUGAGAGAACGCAAAUGAGCAGGACUCAAUAAAAAGUUUAAAUGUAUAA